This 507-nucleotide long non-coding RNA is filed under the name Olea europaea (common olive). Its description in RNAcentral is "long non-coding RNA (OEUR_LNC009432)". Lineage: Eukaryota; Viridiplantae; Streptophyta; Magnoliopsida; Lamiales; Oleaceae. The record is from RNAcentral.
AAUUAUUGAAUAUUUCUCUCGAAACUUUUCGCUUCAAUUAUCUUUGUUCUUCAAUGGGCAGGCCAAACUUAUCAAGAAAGUGAUUCUUGUGGCGUUCAAAACAACGGGUGAGAAUCUUUGGGUUAUGUAAUCAAGGGGUCUUUCAAGCAUCAUUCUCGCUGGAUUUUUUUGUUCAUAAUUUUAUUGGUUCAAGUCCAAAAAUCCGGAGGAGAUUUCAAGAUUGUGUGAUUAAGAGGUCGUUCGUUUCAUAUACGUGCAGUUGCUUGGUUCACUUUUGCGGAUCGAUUCUUAAACCUCAGUCGUAUUUGGGCAUUCUUGGGAUUCGGUGUCAAUUCUUGUGAGUUCGAUAGCAACCUUGCUAACCGGGUUCGCAUCAUGUGUUGAAAACGAGAUUUAGCCUCUGUUUGAACUUCCUUUCAAGUUGCUAAGAUGUUAUUUUUAACUCCACAUUUUAUAAGUCUUACAUUAAGUCAGUUACGUUAAUUUUAAAUCUAUUUUGUAACAAGC